Molecule: long non-coding RNA, 595 nt
Filed under: Homo sapiens (human)
Lineage: Eukaryota; Metazoa; Chordata; Mammalia; Primates; Hominidae
Description: HSALNT0388545
Source: RNAcentral
UCUAAGAUUCCUUUGCACUAUGGCUCCCCCUUCUGGUUCUGCAAUGAGUAAAAACAAGCUCAUAUUACCAAGUGUGAAAUUACAGCAAGUCUUACAGGCUGGGAACUGGAAAAGAGCUUCCCCAUCAUGGUGGAUUAUACAACCAGUGGUGGAGAGUAACUCCAAAAUAUAGCAUCUUUCUACUCAUCUUACUAAAGCUCAAAGAAGGUGAUCUACAAGAUAAUGAAAACAAGGCUCAAAAUAAAAACAAGAAAUCUUUAUGAAAUUACACAAAGUGUAUGUGUUUGAACUUGGAUUUGCUUCCAACUCUGCUUGACUCUGAAAACCAUGCCCUUUCCUCUACAUGAUAUGUUCAUAUGCUCUACCCCACUUAUGGGUGGAAACUCCUCCGUCAAGCUUAUUUAAUCAAUGAAUGAAUGACUCUUCUAAAGGCAGAUACCAGCAGGUUUGGUGGUAGAGCCAGUCCUGCAAAUGUGCUCAAUGUCUUAAGCCACCUGACAGCCAGACUCCAUAUGAAAAGAUUUAACUUCUUAUUAAAAUACCUAUAAUAGUCCAGGUGCAGUGGCUCACACCUGUAAUCCCAGCACUUCGGGAG